AGCAGCCGCGGUAAUUCCAGCUCCAAUAGCGUAUAUUAAAGUUGCUGCAGUUAAAAAGCUCGUAGUUGAAUUUCGGGACUAAUAUGUCGGUCGUGCCUCGGUACGUACUGGUUUAUUGGUUUCUCCUUUCUGAAGAACCAUGAUGUCAUUUAUUUGGUGUCGUGGGGAAUCAGGACUGUUACUUUGAAAAAAUUAGAGUGUUUAAAGCAGGCUCACGCUUGAAUACAUUAGCAUGGAAUAAUGAAAUAGGACGUUUGAUUCUAUUUUGUUGGUUUCUAGGAUCGACGUAAUGAUUAAUAGGGAUAGUUGGGGGCAUUAGUAUUCAAUUGUCAGAGGUGAAAUUCUUGGAUUUAUUGAAGACUAACUACUGCGAAAGCAUUUGCCAAGGAUGUUUUCAUUAAUCAAGAACGAAAGUUAGGGGAUCGAAGACGAUCAGAUACCGUCGUAGUCUUAACCAUAAACUAUGCCGACUAGGGAUCGGAUGAUGUUAAUUUUUUAA
RNAcentral lists this unclassified non-coding RNA (499 nucleotides) under uncultured Glomus. RNAcentral's name for it is "SSU rRNA". It matches the Rfam family "Eukaryotic small subunit ribosomal RNA", at positions 569 to 1074 of the family's 1831-position model. The record is from RNAcentral. Lineage: Eukaryota; Fungi; Glomeromycota; Glomeromycetes; Glomerales; Glomeraceae.